Medicago truncatula (barrel medic) is the source of this 1998-nucleotide long non-coding RNA. RefSeq lists it as uncharacterized. The transcript is spliced from 2 exons. The record is from RefSeq and is a predicted model, not a curated record. NCBI's taxonomy places the organism in Eukaryota, Viridiplantae, Streptophyta, Magnoliopsida, Fabales, Fabaceae.
AAUGGCCUUAGUUUUAGUAAUCCUAGAGGCCUUAGAUGCAACUGUAGAAUGCUGAAAAUUAAUGUGAAUGCAAGAAAUAAAAUGUCAACAUAAGUGGCUAGGUGGUUGUGUUUCAACCAUAGUGGCUUCAAUGAGGUAAGGGAUGAUGUAAGUGACCUUGAGCCUAUGAAUACUAGGGGGGGUGCAAUUAAUAGGUUCUACGAAUUUCUUGAUCUGCAUCACUUAUGCAUCUCAAUUUAUCCAUAUGCACACUAGGUUAACAUUUUCAUGAUCAAUCAACAAUAACAAAAGUAUUGGGAGACAAAGAUAUCAGCUUCACUAUAUUGAUUAUGAGACAUAUUGGUCUAGAUCUAGUGUUGAAUUUGUACGUUUUCGAUGGUUAUACUUCUUUGUUUUAUGAUAAAACUGAUGAUGUUUCCUUUAGCCUCUUUGCAAACCUUGGAAGAUUUGUACACGGGAGGUUCCUUGUAGUUGAGGUCAUAUCUUGCUAAUGUUAUUAUAUUUGUUUGAUGACACUUUUUGUAUCUGAAACUUUUAGUUAAUCUUCAAUUUGCUACAAUUUGCUUCUCUUUUAUUUGAGGGAGCAGGUAAUUGCAGGUUUAUGUUAAUCCUGUUGUUAGCAUAUAUGGAAUUUGUUCUUUCCUAUUUAUUGAUUUACCUGGUGAUCAAUGUCCAAAUGUUAAAUAUGAAAGAGAUGGUUAUUUCAUCACUGUUGAUAUUGAGAAGGACAUGCAAGACGGGCGAGUACCCUUUCAAAGUUUACAUAUAAAGGGUUUAACUUUAAGAACUAACCAAUUAUGAAAAAUAAGAUGUCUUACCACCCCUUUUCAUAUGAGCUCAGACUAUAAGGUAUGCCGAAUGACUUGCCAUCUAAAUUCCAAAGACAGUAAGGCUCCAUUUGGAUAAUAAAAUUAGAUGAAAUUGUGGAUUGAUCCGAGAUCAUAACAAUGUAUGUUUGAAUUGUAUGUUGAGUUGAUGCAAGAUCACUUCUAACUUUGUAUCAUAACUCAGUUUUCACUUCAUCUCACAAAUUUAGAUAGCUUUUGGUAAACAAGUUAGAACAGGAUGAAAUAGAACAUAUGAGUUCCAUUUUGUAUUUGAUGUAUAUUAAAAUUAGAACAAAAUAGGCUAUAAGGUAAAAAGAAGUGGUGUAUUUUGAUUCUAGUGAAAAGGGUGAAACAAUAGAGAACAUAAAAUGAUAUCUUUUCCCACAUUAUUUUGCCUAUGUACUUCUUGAUUCCUCGGUUACUUUUCCUUUUGUAUUGAAGAGACCUGAAAAUUAUUUUCCAUAUCAUCAAAAGCAAAACUAAUCAAGGAGAAAAAUCAAGAGAUAUUACUCCAUUUUCACACCCUCCCUAAUUUUCCCUAUUUUCCUAUGUGCUAUGUUGCAACUUGCAAGUAAGGAAGUUCGUUGAAUACCGUAGACAUUUGUGGUACAGCUGAGUUACAAGAUUUUGUCCUUUCACAGGAAGUGCUAUUUUAUUUGGCAACUGGUCAGCAUGGAUAUUAUUAUACAGACGUUCUGCUGACAAUGUCUACGGUAUUCUGAGCAGUUUCGUAUCCUUACAGCUCCCCAUGAUGUUUUCUGAAGAGAAGGGUACAACUUGCAUGCCACUGUCACUACAACUCUGGUGAAUAUUUUGCAUAGCUUCAAGCCCUUGUUGAUUUGAGAAGACUAUGAAACACUUGGAUGAUCAUCUAGUGGACAUUAAUGUAACACUUAGGGAAUCACAAAUCCAAAGCAAAGUGAAGAAGUUCAGAGGAGAGGGCAUGUCACUGCUUAUGAGAAAAGAGAAAAUUAUCUAAGUGGACAUAAGUUGGACAUUAUAAUAAGGAAAAAUAAAUAUGUGUAAUUGUUUCUAAUGAUUAGAAACCAAACAUGGACCUUAUAAAUAACAAUACAAAUUGUUAGAAAGGUUCAGUUACUUCAAAGCAAAGCUUAAUAAUAUGUUAGUCUAUCAUACAUUCUAUUGUCUAAGAAGCUGCUUUUUAUCAUUA